This 468-nucleotide ribosomal RNA is filed under the name uncultured bacterium. RNAcentral's name for it is "partial 16S ribosomal RNA". It matches the Rfam family "Bacterial small subunit ribosomal RNA", at positions 28 to 507 of the family's 1533-position model. The record is from RNAcentral.
GAUGAACGCUGGCGGCGUGCUUAACACAUGCAAGUCGAACGGAAAGGCCCAAGCUUGCUUGGGUACUCGAGUGGCGAACGGGUGGGUAACACGUGGGUGAUCUGCCCUGCACUUCGGGAUAAGCCUGGGAAACUGGGUCUAAUACAGGCUAGGACGAUGGUUUGGAUGCGAUUGUGGAGAGUUUUUUCGGUGAGGGAUGAGCUCGGGGGCUAUCAGCUUGUUGGGGGGGAAGUGGCCUACCAAGGAGUCGCCGGGUAGCCGGCCUGAGAGGGUGUACGGCCGCAUUGGGACUCUGAGACGGCCCAGACUCCUGCGGGUGGCAGCAGUGGGGAAUAUUGCACCCUGGGCGCACGCCUGAUGCAGCGACGCCGCGUGGUGGAUGACGGCCUUCGGGUUGUAGACUCCUCUCUCUAGGGACGAAGCGCUUUUGUGACGUUACCUGGAGAAGAAGCACCGGCUAACUACGUG